This 264-nucleotide unclassified non-coding RNA is filed under the name fungal sp. RNAcentral describes it as "partial internal transcribed spacer region". The stretch from base 1 to 46 matches the Rfam family "Eukaryotic small subunit ribosomal RNA", at positions 1786 to 1831 of the family's 1831-position model. Lineage: Eukaryota; Fungi. The record is from RNAcentral.
AAGUCGUAACAAGGUUUCCGUAGGUGAACCUGCGGAAGGAUCAUUACAGAAGAGGGGAGGGCUUGGUGUGUGGGGUGGGGGGUUAUAAGGGCUUUGCUCAGAAGAGCACUGCUCUAUACUAUACCCUCCUACUCACCCUGCUCGCCCAUAUCAGCACGGGGCGCAUGCUUGGCGUGUGACCCCGAUGUUUACGCUUGUUUGUUUGACAGAGUCACAUACCAAGUUCAACUUUUACAACUUUUAACAAUGGAUCUCUUGGCUCUU